UUGAUUUAUUUAAUCGUGUUACUCAGAAGAUACUGUAUAAAACAAGAGUUUGGGGUCCUCUGGCGGGCUGCCGAAGCAGGCACCGCCGAGGCAACAAAUGGUAUGUUCACAGGGGUUUGGGAGUUGUAAACUCGGUAAUGAUCCCUCCGCUGGUUCACCAACGGAGA
This 167-nucleotide unclassified non-coding RNA is filed under the name uncultured fungus. RNAcentral's name for it is "sequence contains ITS1". The record is from RNAcentral. Lineage: Eukaryota; Fungi.